GAUAAACGCUGGCGGCGUGCCUAACACAUGCAAGUCGAACGUCCUGCUCUUUCGGGGGCAGGGAGUGGCGGACGGGUGAGGAACGCGUGGGUACCUACCCUCAGGUGAGGGAUACCGGCGAGAAAUCGCCGACAAGACCGCAUAGGCUCUCUUCGGACGAGGAGAGCAAAGUCGCAAGACGCCUGGGGAUGGGCCUGCGUCCGAUUAGCUGGCUGGUGGGGUAAGAGCCUACCAGGGCGACGAUCGGUAGCUGGUCUGAGAGGACGAUCAGCCACAC
Molecule: ribosomal RNA, 277 nt
Filed under: uncultured bacterium
Lineage: Bacteria
Description: partial 16S ribosomal RNA
Rfam family: Bacterial small subunit ribosomal RNA
Source: RNAcentral